RNAcentral lists this ribosomal RNA (810 nucleotides) under uncultured Candidatus Scalindua sp. Its description in RNAcentral is "bacterial SSU rRNA". It matches the Rfam family "Bacterial small subunit ribosomal RNA", at positions 46 to 832 of the family's 1533-position model. The record is from RNAcentral. Lineage: Bacteria; Pseudomonadati; Planctomycetota; Candidatus Brocadiia; Candidatus Brocadiales; Candidatus Scalinduaceae.
GGAUUAGGCAUGCAAGUCGAACGAGGGAAUAUUCUUCGGAAUAUAAAUCGAGUGGCGAAAGGGUGAGUAAUGCAUAGAUGACAUACCUUUAGGAUAAGAAUAGCUUUGUGAAAACGGAGAUAAUGCUUAAUAAUUACGAAGUGAAAUCAAUUUUCUUCGUCAAAGGGGGGGCAGCAAUGCCUCUUGCCUAGAGAGUGGUUUAUGUCCUAUCAGCUAGUUGGUGGGGUAAUGGCCUACCAAGGCUAAGACGGGUAGCCGGCCUUAGAGGGUGGUCGGCCACACUGGGACUGAGACACUGCCCAGACUCCUACGGGAGGCUGCAGUCGAGAAUCUUUCGCAAUGCCCGAAAGGGUGACGAAGCGACGCCGCGUGAGCGAAGAAGGCCCUAGGGUUGUAAAGCUCUGUCGGGGGUUAUGAAAUGUAGAUCGGUUAAUACCCGGUUUAUUUGACAAAGGCCCCAAAGGAAGCCACGGCUAACUCUGUGCCAGCAGCCGCGGUAAUACAGAGGUGGCAAGCGUUGUUCGGUAUUAUUGGGCGUAAAGAGCACGUAGGUGGUUCUGUAAGUCAGAUGUGAAAGCCUUCUGUUCAAAGGAAGAACGACAUCUGAAACUACAGAUCUUGAGUGUAGGAGGGGAGAGUGGAACUUCUGGUGGAGCGGUGAAAUGCGUAGAUAUCAGAAGGAACGUCGGCGGCGAAAGCGACUCUCUGGCCUAUUACUGACACUGAGUGUGCGAGAGUUAGGGGAGCAAACGGGAUUAGAUACCCCGGUAGUCCUAACUGUAAACGAUGGGCACUAAGUAGAGGGGUUUU